This 867-nucleotide long non-coding RNA is filed under the name Homo sapiens (human). Its description in RNAcentral is "HSALNT0364003". The record is from RNAcentral. Lineage: Eukaryota; Metazoa; Chordata; Mammalia; Primates; Hominidae.
GCCUUACAGCCUGUGGUGGUUGCCGAAGAACUUUAAUUACAGUGUCAGAGUGUUCAGGGACAGUCCCAACUCCCUUCAUGUGAGGAUUGCAGAAAUGGGCUUGGAUCGUAUACAGACAGCGUUAUGAGGCAUUGCUGAAGAACAGAAAAGAAAAAACAACAAAGUUUCCAGCUCUUACUCUAGAUUGACACUGGACCUUGGAGAUGCUUGCAGCCACUAAAUGUAAUGCCACAUGAUUGUUGACCCAACAAUAAUCCAGUUAAAAAACAGUCUUCAGAGUUACUACAUCAUCAGAAUUAACCCUGAUUACAUCAAAUUAUGUUGAAACAGACCACAGCUGUUUGCCCUGUUGAAGCAACUGCUUGAGAGCUCCUCCGGAAGAUACAUCUGGGUGUCACUAAGAUACAUUUUGGGUUUAGUUUUGUUUCUCAACACAAAUGUAGGAGGGAAACAAACCCUGUUCUGCUGGGGUGCCUGGUGGGAGCUGAAAACCUUGUGAUUCUCCAGCAGUCAAAAGUCAUCUCAAUUACCAAAGAGAAGGGAACCUGAGAUCUUUUGUUUCAGUUUUCUAUAGGAAGGAUGUAAGAGGAAGGAAAUUCAAAUCUGUUGAGUAUUGCUCUUGCCAGCAAAAAGAAGUGGAACUGACUAGUGAGAUGGUGGUGAGAUUUUCUUUGGUGGCUGUGUGCAGUGGUAUCAACCCAGGAGAGUAGACUGUUCAAUUGUGAAGAAUUUUGCAAGAUGGUUGUUAAAGUAGAACAUCGUUAAAAUUAAGUUGUAAUAAAAAAAGGGAAAUAAGCAUUGGAAAAGAUGUGGACAGAUUGGAACCCUCAUACAUUGCUGAUGGGAAUGUAAAAUGGUGUAGCCACU